GUGAACGCUGGCGGUAGGCCUAACACAUGCAAGUCGAACGGCAGCACAGUAAGAGCUUGCUCUUCCGGGUGGCGAGUGGCGGACGGGUGAGGAAUACAUCGGAAUCUACUUUUUCGUGGGGGAUAACGUAGGGAAACUUACGCUAAUACCGCAUACGACCUACGGGUGAAAGCAGGGGAUCUUCGGACCUUGCGCGAUUGAAUGAGCCGAUGUCGGAUUAGCUAGUUGGCGGGGUAAAGGCCCACCAAGGCGACGAUCCGUAGCUGGUCUGAGAGGAUGAUCAGCCACACUGGAACUGAGACACGGUCCAGACUCCUACGGGAGGCAGCAGUGGGGAAUAUUGGACAAUGGGCGCAAGCCUGAUCCAGCCAUACCGCGUGGGUGAAGAAGGCCUUCGGGUUGUAAAGCCCUUUUGUUGGGAAAGAAAAGCAGCAGGUUAAUACCCCGCUGUUCUGACGGUACCCAAAGAAUAAGCACCGGCUAACUUCGCG
Molecule: ribosomal RNA, 491 nt
Filed under: uncultured bacterium
Lineage: Bacteria
Description: partial 16S ribosomal RNA
Rfam family: Bacterial small subunit ribosomal RNA
Source: RNAcentral